CAGCAGCCGCCACGGGAAUACAGAGGGUGCGAGCGUUAAUCGGAUUUACUGGGCGUAAAGCGUGCGUAGGCGGCUUCUUAAGUCGGAUGUGAAAUCCCUGAGCUUAACUUAGGAAUUGCAUUCGAUACUGGGAAGCUAGAGUAUGGGAGAGGAUGGUAGAAUUCCAGGUGUAGCGGUGAAAUGCGUAGAGAUCUGGAGGAAUACCGAUGGCGAAGGCAGCCAUCUGGCCUAAUACUGACGCUGAGGUACGAAAGCAUGGGGAGCAAACAGGAUUAGAUACCCCGGUAGUCCCUGUCUCUUAUAU
RNAcentral lists this ribosomal RNA (304 nucleotides) under uncultured bacterium. Its description in RNAcentral is "partial 16S ribosomal RNA". It matches the Rfam family "Bacterial small subunit ribosomal RNA", at positions 509 to 809 of the family's 1533-position model. The record is from RNAcentral.